RNAcentral lists this ribosomal RNA (468 nucleotides) under uncultured bacterium. RNAcentral describes it as "partial 16S ribosomal RNA". It matches the Rfam family "Bacterial small subunit ribosomal RNA", at positions 28 to 507 of the family's 1533-position model. The record is from RNAcentral.
GACGAACGCUGGCGGCGUGCUUAACACAUGCAAGUCGAACGGAAAGGCCCUGCUUUUGUGGGGUGCUCGAGUGGCGAACGGGUGAGUAACACGUGAGUAACCUGCCCUUGACUUUGGGAUAACUUCAGGAAACUGGGGCUAAUACCGGAUAGGAUCUCCUGCUGCAUGGUGGGGGUUGGAAAGUUUCGGCGGUUGGGGAUGGACGCGCGGCUUAUCAGCUUGUUGGUGGGGUAGUGGCUUACCAAGGCUUUGACGGGUAGCCGGCCUGAGAGGGUGACCGGCCACAUUGGGACUGAGAUACGGCCCAGACUCCUACGGGAGGCAGCAGUGGGGAAUAUUGCACAAUGGGAGGAAGCCUGAUGAAGAAACGCCGCGUGCGGGAUGACGGCCUUCGGGUUGUAAACCGCUUUCGCCUGUGACGAAGCGUGAGUGACGGUAAUGGGUAAAGAAGCACCGGCUAACUACGUG